This 440-nucleotide ribosomal RNA is filed under the name uncultured bacterium. RNAcentral describes it as "partial 16S ribosomal RNA". It matches the Rfam family "Bacterial small subunit ribosomal RNA", at positions 338 to 795 of the family's 1533-position model. The record is from RNAcentral.
CCUACGGGUGGCAGCAGUAGGGAAUAUUGCUCAAUGGGGGAAACCCUGAAGCAGCAACGCCGCGUGGAGGAUGAAGGUUUUCGGAUUGUAAACUCCUGUUGUUAGAGAAGAUAAUGACGGUAUCUAACGAAUAAGCACCGGCUAACUCCGUGCCAGCAGCCGCGGUAAUACGGAGGGUGCAAGCGUUACUCGGAAUCACUGGGCGUAAAGAGCGCGUAGGCGGGGUAGCAAGUCAGAUGUGAAAUCCUAGGGCUUAACCAUAGAACUGCAUUUGAAACUGUUAUUCUAGAGUAUGGGAGAGGUAGGUGGAAUUCUUGGUGUAGGGGUAAAAUCCGUAGAGAUCAAGAGGAAUACUCAUUGCGAAGGCGACCUGCUAGAACAUAACUGACGCUGAUGCGCGAAAGCGUGGGGAGCAAACAGGAUUAGAUACCCCUGUAGUC